UACGUAGGGUGCAAGCGUUGUCCGGAAUUAUUGGGCGUAAAGAGCUCGUAGGCGGUCUGUCGCGUCGGCUGUGAAAACCCGGAGCUCAACUCCGGGCCUGCAGUCGAUACGGGCAGACUGGAGUUCGGCAGGGGAGACUGGAAUUCCUGGUGUAGCGGUGAAAUGCGCAGAUAUCAGGAGGAACACCAAAAGCGAAGGCAGCUCUCUGGGUCCCUACCGACGCUGGGGUGCGAAAGCAUGGGGAGCGAACAGG
RNAcentral lists this ribosomal RNA (253 nucleotides) under uncultured bacterium. Its description in RNAcentral is "partial 16S ribosomal RNA". It matches the Rfam family "Bacterial small subunit ribosomal RNA", at positions 524 to 776 of the family's 1533-position model. The record is from RNAcentral.